UAAUACGGAGGGUACAAGCGUUAAUCGGAAUUACUGGGCGUAAAGCGCGCGUAGGCGGCUAAGUAAGUUGGAUGUGAAAGCCCCGGGCUCAACCUGGGAAUUGCAUUCAAAACUGCUUGGCUAGAGUGCGAGAGAGGAAAGUAGAAUUUCUGGUGUAGCGGUGAAAUGCGUAGAUAUCAGAAGGAAUACCAAUGGCGAAGGCAGCUCUCUGGCUCGUCACUGACGCUAAGGUGCGAAAGCGUGGGUAGCAAACAGGAUUAGAUACCCUGGUAGUCCACGCCGUAAACGAUGAGAACUAGCCGUUGGGGGGAAUUAACUCUUCAGUGGCGCAGCUAACGCAUUAAGUUCUCCGCCUGGGGACUACGGCCGCAAGGCUA
Molecule: ribosomal RNA, 377 nt
Filed under: uncultured Gammaproteobacteria bacterium
Lineage: Bacteria; Pseudomonadati; Pseudomonadota; Gammaproteobacteria
Description: bacterial SSU rRNA
Rfam family: Bacterial small subunit ribosomal RNA
Source: RNAcentral